GCCGCCGUCGCCUCGCAAGUCGAGCGGACAGAAGGGAGCUUGCUCCCGGAUGUUAGCGGCGGACGGGUGAGUAACACGUGGGUAACCUGCCUGUAAGACUGGGAUAACUCCGGGAAACCGGAGCUAAUACCGGAUAGUUCCUUGAACCGCAUGGUUCAAGGAUGAAAGACGGUUUCGGCUGUCACUUACAGAUGGACCCGCGGCGCAUUAGCUAGUUGGUGGGGUAAUGGCUCACCAAGGCGACGAUGCGUAGCCGACCUGAGAGGGUGAUCGGCCACACUGGGACUGAGACACGCCCCAAACUCCUACGGGAGGCAGCAGUAGGGAAUCUUCCGCAAUGAACGAAAGUCUGACGAACCAACGCCGCGUGAGUGAUAAAGGUUUUCGAAUCGAAAA
Molecule: ribosomal RNA, 396 nt
Filed under: Bacillus safensis
Lineage: Bacteria; Bacillati; Bacillota; Bacilli; Caryophanales; Bacillaceae
Description: bacterial SSU rRNA
Rfam family: Bacterial small subunit ribosomal RNA
Source: RNAcentral